Molecule: long non-coding RNA, 461 nt
Filed under: Coffea arabica (coffee)
Lineage: Eukaryota; Viridiplantae; Streptophyta; Magnoliopsida; Gentianales; Rubiaceae
Description: long non-coding RNA (CARA_LNC004136)
Source: RNAcentral
AAGACUUUGAAUCGAAGCCCGGCUCCUUUCUCUGGGGGUAUCAAGGCAACGAUGUUGAGUCAAAGUCUAAGGAGAAGAAGCCUCUUAUAGCCCGGCUCCUUUCUCUGGGGAUAUCAAGGCCCUCUUAUGAAAGACUUUGAGUCAAAGCCCGGCUCCUUUCUCUGGGGUAUCAAGGCAACGACGCUGAGUCUAAGUCUAAGGAGGAGAAGCCUCUUAUGAAAGACUUUGAGUCGAAGCCCGGCUCCUUUCUCUGGGGGUAUCAAGGCAACCACGCUGAGUACAAGGAGGAGAAACCACUCGUGAAAGAUAAUUAAUGUCCAGGGAAGCCGCAACUUUACCUCUGAAUGGACCACGGACAUAUAUGUCUUCUAGCUGGUCUGAUUUUCUGCAUUUUCUUUAUUGGCAUGAACAUGUGUGAUAUGUAAUAAAUGCAGUUCUUCUUUCAACCAAGCGUUCUGUAU